UACGGGGGGAGCGAGCGUUGUCCGGAUUUAUUGGGCGUAAAGGGCAUGUAGGCGGGCUAUUAAGUCAGUUGUUAAACUUAUCGGCUUAACUGGUAAUUGCAAUUGAUACUGGUAGUCUUGAGUAUGAGAGGGGACAGUGGAAUAUCAAGUGUAGCGGUGGAAUGCGUAGAUAUUUGAUAGAACACCUGAGGCGAAGGCGACUGUCUGGCUUUUAACUGACGCUGAGAUGCGAAAGUAUGGGUAGCAAACAGGAUUAGAUACCCUGGUAGUCCAUACCGUAAACGAUGGGUACUAGGUGUUUGAGUGGUUAGUCGCUUAAGCGCCGUAGCAAACGCAUUAAGUACCCCGCCUGGGGAGUACGAUCGCAAGGUUGAA
RNAcentral lists this ribosomal RNA (375 nucleotides) under uncultured bacterium. RNAcentral's name for it is "bacterial SSU rRNA". It matches the Rfam family "Bacterial small subunit ribosomal RNA", at positions 524 to 898 of the family's 1533-position model. The record is from RNAcentral.